GCAGAAGAUGGGGGAGAUUAGCCUGGCGCGGCUAUCAUGCAGGUCGAGCGGAAGAAGGGAGCUUGCUCCCGGAUGUUAGCGGCGGACGGGUGAGUAACACGUGGGUAACCUGCCUGUAAGACUGGGAUAACUCCGGGAAACCGGAGCUAAUACCGGAUAGUUCCUUGAACCGCAUGGUUCAAGGAUGAAAGACGGUUUCGGCUGUCACUUACAGAUGGACCCGCGGCGCAUUAGCUAGUUGGUGGGGUAAUGGCUCACCAAGGCGACGAUGCGUAGCCAACCUGAGAGGGUGAUCGGCCACACUGGGACUGAAACACGGCCCAAACUCCUACGGGAGGCAGCAGUAGGGAAUCUUCCGCAAUGGACAAAAGUCUGACGGAGCACCGCCGCGUGAGUGAUGAAGGUUUUCGGAUCGUAAAGCUCUGUUGUUAGGGAAAAACAAGUGCGAGAGUAACUGCUCGCACCUUGACGGUACCUAACCAAAAAGCCACGGCUAACUACGUGCCAGCAGCCGCGGUAAUACGUAGGUGGCAAGCGUUGUCCGGAAUUAUUGGGCGUAAAGGGCUCGCAGGCGGUUUCUUAAGUCUGAUGUGAAAGCCCCCGCCUCAACCGGGGAGGGUCAUUGGAAACUGGGAAACUUGAGUGCAGAAGAGGAGAGUGGAAUUCCACGUGUAGCGGUGAAAUGCGUAGAGAUGUGGAGGAACACCAGUGGCGAAGGCGACUCUCUGGUCUGUAACUGACGCUGAGGAGCGAAAGCGUGGGGAGCGAACAGGAUUAGAUACCCCUGGGUAGUCCACGCCGUAACGAUGAGGUGCUAAGGUGUUAGGGGGGUUUUCCGCCCCUUUAGUGGCUGCAGCUAACGCAUUAAAGCCACUCCGGCCGUGGGAGGAGGUACGGUCCGCAGGACCUGAUACUCAAAGGUAGUGACGGGGGCCCCGCAACCAGGCGCGGUGUGGGAGCGCAGUGGUGUGUGGGUACUCU
This 981-nucleotide ribosomal RNA is filed under the name Bacillus sp. RE4(2011). RNAcentral's name for it is "bacterial SSU rRNA". It matches the Rfam family "Bacterial small subunit ribosomal RNA", at positions 1 to 971 of the family's 1533-position model. Lineage: Bacteria; Bacillati; Bacillota; Bacilli; Caryophanales; Bacillaceae. The record is from RNAcentral.